UCUGACCUCAAAUCAGGUAGGACUACCCGCUGAACUUAAGCAUAUCAAUAAGCGGAGGAAAAGAAACUAACAAGGAUUCCCCUAGUAACUGCGAGUGAAGCGGGAAAAGCUCAAAUUUGAAAUCUGGCAGUCUUUUUUUUCUUCUUUGGCUGUCCGAGUUGUAAUCUAGAGAAGUGCUUACCUGCACUG
Molecule: ribosomal RNA, 189 nt
Filed under: Amanita sp. 'minnesorora'
Lineage: Eukaryota; Fungi; Basidiomycota; Agaricomycetes; Agaricales; Amanitaceae
Description: partial 28S ribosomal RNA
Rfam family: Eukaryotic large subunit ribosomal RNA
Source: RNAcentral